UUCGCGUUUCGUCGUCGACGGGUACCGAGAUCGCGAGACGGGAGGCGUCGCGCUACCGCGCGCUCGUCACUCGCUCCUUUCUYUAUUCGAUUCGGCGGCGAACGCGUGCACUUUUCUCCUGGUAGGACGUCGCGAUCCGUUGGGUGUCGGUCUAAGGUGGGACGGUGGAGCCCGCGAAUACGGUUCGCGCCGUCAUUUGCGGACCCGUCUCUCCCGGCCGACUCGCUCGACGGUACACGAAAGGUACGAGGCCGCUCCCGUAGCGUUCGACUCGCGUCAAGCGCGCCAGUAGUUUGUUGGCCAUCGGACCUGGUGCCGGUUCCGACCUCUGGUGACUGUUGGACGCGAAGUUUUCUCGAACAGACCUCGCUCGAAAUACCGAUCUGCGACGCUAUAGCUUUGGGUACUUUCAGGACCCGUCUUGAAACACGGACCAAGGAGUCUAGCAUGUGCGCGAGUCAUUGGGAAUUACUAAACCUAAAGGCGCAAUGAAAGUUAAAAGUUCGUCUCGCACGAACCGAGGGAAGAUGGGCGGUGUCGCCGUUAAAAGCGGCCGUCUCGCAUUCCCGGGGCGUCUCGUUCUCAUCGCGAGAAGAGGCGCACCAAGAGCGUACACGCUGGGACCCGAAAGAUGGUGAACUAUGCCUGGUCAGGACGAAGUCAGGGGAAACCCUGAUGGAGGUCCGUAGCGAUUCUGACGUGCAAAUCGAUCGUCGGAACUGGGUAUA
This 728-nucleotide ribosomal RNA is filed under the name Rhabdoscelus obscurus (New Guinea sugarcane weevil). RNAcentral's name for it is "eukaryotic LSU rRNA". It matches the Rfam family "Eukaryotic large subunit ribosomal RNA", at positions 594 to 919 of the family's 3401-position model. Lineage: Eukaryota; Metazoa; Arthropoda; Insecta; Coleoptera; Curculionidae. The record is from RNAcentral.